GGGCACUAUGCGCGCAAGCAUGCGUACUGUCCUAUCCCUGGGCACGACAUGGGGUCAAGACUUGCUUGCGUCACUUCGCAUGCAAACAGGUGCCAAACACUGUGCGUGCGCCGUUCACGCAGCAGGCUUGUGCGGAUAGGCACUGUGCACCUGGGGCCUUCGCACAAGCUAGCCUUUGCGAGUGCGACAGGAGGCCUGUGCACCUGUAGUGUGCUGGCCAGGGCACUGCCACCUCAUGCAGUGCACCACUGUUGCCUUGGACGGCACGCCGCCUCCGCCCGUGGAGGAGGCCCUCCUCCCUAAUUCUUCAUUGGAUUUUGCCACUUGUUGCAAAUUUGAUAGCUCAAAA
This 349-nucleotide long non-coding RNA is filed under the name Carica papaya (papaya). RNAcentral describes it as "long non-coding RNA (CPAP_LNC009056)". Lineage: Eukaryota; Viridiplantae; Streptophyta; Magnoliopsida; Brassicales; Caricaceae. The record is from RNAcentral.